UGCCCCCUGCCGGGUUCGUGAUUCGGCUUCGAGUCGUUUGGGCCGACUUUGUAAAAAGCGGAGCGUCUGCCCGCGCCCAUGAGCAAGCUCCCAUGUUUCGAGGGAGAAGCCUACGGGCGACGGCGAAACGGAUGCCCCACCUGUGAAAUACAGGUCCAAACAACCGAGCCACACGGCCUUAGCGGGGGGCUU
Molecule: non-coding RNA, 192 nt
Filed under: Anaeromyxobacter sp. RBG_16_69_14
Lineage: Bacteria; Pseudomonadati; Myxococcota; Myxococcia; Myxococcales; Anaeromyxobacteraceae
Description: 6S RNA
Rfam family: 6S / SsrS RNA
About the family: E. coli 6S RNA was the first non coding RNA to be sequenced, but its function was unknown until recently. It consists of 184 nucleotides that fold into an extended hairpin structure with a large single-stranded internal bulge. The 6S RNA specifically associates with RNA polymerase holoenzyme containing the sigma70 specificity factor.
Source: RNAcentral